GGGUAUGCGCCAGAGUUGGAGAGCUGGGGAGGUCUGUAAAACCUCUGCCUUUGGGCUGAGUAGGUUCGAAUCCUACCAUACCCA
RNAcentral lists this transfer RNA (84 nucleotides) under Bacteriophage sp. Its description in RNAcentral is "tRNA-Tyr". It matches the Rfam family "tRNA". From Rfam's summary of the family: Transfer RNA (tRNA) molecules are approximately 80 nucleotides in length. Their secondary structure includes four short double-helical elements and three loops (D, anti-codon, and T loops). The record is from RNAcentral.